GUAAAAAAGUUUGACGACUACAAGAGGUGGCUUGUGGCUGAGAUUGGGUUUGAAGGUAUGCUGAAUCUUCCAUUGUUGGGAAAGCUAGAUCUGAAAAUGAGUGCAUGGGUUAUGAGGAAGGCGAAGGUGAAGACGCGCACAAUAGUUAUUGACAAGGAUCGGGUGAUUAUGUUUACUCCAGAGGAUUUUCACAAAAAUUUUGGAGUUCCUUGUGGCAACCGGGCUGUCCGUGGAAGGGAUGGUGAAAUCAAGACAGCAGCAGUUGAGUUUAUGAAGCAGAUAAUUGGGAUGAAUGCAUCACCUGCUCACAAUCUGAAGGCUGCGGAAGAUUUUUUGUGUAGAGAGAUAUCAGAGGAGUCGAGCAAGAUUGAGAAGGAUUGUUUCCAGAUUUCGUUUGUUAUAUUUGUAAUGGGUUAUGUCCUGUCA
RNAcentral lists this ribosomal RNA (426 nucleotides) under Triticum aestivum (bread wheat). RNAcentral's name for it is "partial small subunit ribosomal RNA". The record is from RNAcentral. Lineage: Eukaryota; Viridiplantae; Streptophyta; Magnoliopsida; Poales; Poaceae.